GACGAACGCUGGCGGCGUGCUUAACACAUGCAAGUCGAACGAUGAUCUCCAGCUUGCUGGGGGGAUUAGUGGCGAACGGGUGAGUAACACGUGAGUAACCUGCCCUGGACUCUGGGAUAACCCCGAGAAAUCGGAGCUAAUACCGGAUAGGACCUUGGACCGCAUGGUUUGGGGUGGAAAGUUUUUUCGGUUUGGGAUGGACUCGCGGCCUAUCAGCUUGUUGGUGAGGUAAUGGCUCACCAAGGCGUCGACGGGUAGCCGGCCUGAGAGGGUGACCGGCCACACUGGGACUGAGACACGGCCCAGACUCCAACGGGAGGCAGCAGUGGGGAAUAUUGCACAAUGGGCGCAAGCCUGAUGCAGCAACGCCGCGUGCGGGAUGACGGCCUUCGGGUUGUAAACCGCUUUUAGUGGGGAAGAAGGGGCUCCUUCGGGGGUUUUGACGGUACUUGCAGAAAAAGGACCGGCUAACUACGUGCCAGCAGCCGCGGUAAUACGUAGGGUCCGAGCGUUGUCCGGAAUUAUUGGGCGUAAAGAGCUCGUAGGCGGUUUGUCGCGUCUGCUGUGAAAUCCGGAGGCUCAACCUCGGGUCUGCAGUGGGUACGGGCAGACUGGAGUGCGGUAGGGGAGAAUGGAAUUCCUGGU
Molecule: ribosomal RNA, 645 nt
Filed under: Agromyces sp. GV-R2A-10
Lineage: Bacteria; Bacillati; Actinomycetota; Actinomycetes; Micrococcales; Microbacteriaceae
Description: bacterial SSU rRNA
Rfam family: Bacterial small subunit ribosomal RNA
Source: RNAcentral